Chelonia mydas (Green sea turtle) is the source of this 915-nucleotide long non-coding RNA. RefSeq lists it as uncharacterized. The record is from RefSeq and is a predicted model, not a curated record. The transcript has 2 exons. NCBI's taxonomy places the organism in Eukaryota, Metazoa, Chordata, Testudines, Cheloniidae.
AGUCUGUGGCAGAAAGCCUAAAGGAGGAAAUGGGCUUUUUAGAGGGCUGCAGAAACUAGCACUGUGAACAGGGCUGCUAGGACUUGCAGGCCUGAGGCCCUGGGAAGAGGGUGAAGGAGCCAGAGGCAGGAGCUGAAGGUGCUGGGGCUGCGGGGAAGUGGGCCAGGAAAUUGAGACAGACUGGUGGUGAGAGAAAGGACGGGCAGCAGCAACCUGUUUACAGGGUCCCUGGGCUAAGACCCAGAGUAGUGGGCAGGUCUGCCCCGCCCCCCCUCACUUGCCGCUGAAGAAGCAGCCAGGCUAGGGACUGCCUAGCUGCUGUGAGGAGUGGCUAGACUGUUGUGGAGGAGUCCCCUGGAAGGGGGGAACCCGGAUAGUGACAUGGCCGAAGGUCUUGGCCAUGAAACAAAGGCAGUGCAACUGGAACUGCGAUGGAUCUGCAGGCAGAGACAAGGAUGGGAGAGCCACUGCCACCAGAAGACAUACCUGCUGACCAGAGCUAAUUCCUGAAACCAACAGCAGAAGGUGCCAGUGUGUUCCUAGAUCUCUGCUUGUGAAGCAGGAGGAGGUGCAGCUACAUGCUAACUUUCCUAUGCCAGCAAAGCAUUACCGUUUUGAGAGAGCUUCCGUUACACUAUUUUUUUCAACAAACUGUUAAAUUAUCUGUACUGUCUCUUUGUUACAAACCACAAAGAAAUGAAUAUAAUUCUCUUUGACUCUUAUUAAAAACUGAAGAAGGAUGAUGAUUUAUAAGUACUUGUACUGUAGCCCAACACACCACUUAUGUAAUUGCACUGUACAUGUUUCUUGUUUUGAUUAGGAGGUGACUAGGCACUGCUCAGAUUGUAGUACUUAGAGCAAUAAAUUGGGCAAGUGUUGACAUCUUGGAAAAAUAAAUCUGAUUGCUUUUUCUUG